Molecule: ribosomal RNA, 305 nt
Filed under: uncultured bacterium
Lineage: Bacteria
Description: bacterial SSU rRNA
Rfam family: Bacterial small subunit ribosomal RNA
Source: RNAcentral
UGCCGCCUACGGGGGGCAGCAGUCGGGAAUAUUGCGCAAUGGAGGAAACUCUGACGCAGUGACGCCGCGUAUAGGAAGAAGGUCUUCGGAUUGUAAACUAUUGUCGUUAGGGAAGAGAAGGGACAGUACCUAAGGAGGAAGCUCCGGCUAACUACGUGCCAGCAGCCGCGGUAAUACGUAGGGGGCAAGCGUUAUCCGGAAUUACUGGGUGUAAAGGGAGCGUAGACGGCUGUGCAAGUCUGGAGUGAAAGGCGGGGGCCCAACCCCCGGACUGCUCUGGGAACUGUAUGGCUGGAGUGCAGGAG